RNAcentral lists this ribosomal RNA (526 nucleotides) under Balneola sp. RNAcentral's name for it is "bacterial SSU rRNA". It matches the Rfam family "Bacterial small subunit ribosomal RNA", at positions 378 to 904 of the family's 1533-position model. The record is from RNAcentral. Lineage: Bacteria; Pseudomonadati; Balneolota; Balneolia; Balneolales; Balneolaceae.
GAAGCCUGACGCAGCCACGCCGCGUGCCGGAUGAAGGCCCUAUGGGUUGUAAACGGCUUUUGAGGAGGAAGAACGACUGGAUUUCGAUCUGGUGUGACGGUACUCCUUGAAUAAGCACCGGCUAACUCCGUGCCAGCAGCCGCGGUAAUACGGAGGGUGCAAGCGUUGUCCGGAAUCAUUGGGUGUAAAGGGUGCGUAGGCGGGCUAUUAAGUCUGGGGUGAAAUCUUGCCGCUUAACGGUAAAAUGGCCCUGGAUACUGGUAGUCUUGAGUGUAGAAGAGGUAAGUGGAAUUCGUAGUGUAGCGGUGAAAUGCAUAGAUAUUACGAAGAACAUCAGUGGCGAAGGCGGCUUACUGGUCUACAACUGACGCUGAGGCACGAAAGCGUGGGGAGCGAACAGGAUUAGAUACCCUGGUAGUCCACGCUGUAAACGAUGCAUACUAGGUGUUGGCCUUUCGGGGCCAGUGCUGCAGUUAACGCAUUAAGUAUGCCACCUGGGGAGUACGUCGGCAACGAUGAAACUCAA